CUGCUGCAGUGUUUGCCUGGUACAUUGUUAGUUAUCAUCAAGCGCGGAAACAACAUGAAGCAGUCAGUGGGAAACCCAAGUGUAUAUUGCAAACUAACACUCGGCCAUACUCCGCCAAGACAAACAAAGAUUGUAUCAACUGGCCCAAAUCCGGAGUGGGAUGAGAGUUUUUUGUGGUCCUUUGAGAGUCCUCCAAAAGGCCAGAAGCUUCAUAUUUCAUGCAAAAAUAAGAGCAAAAUGGGGAAGAGUUCUUUUGGAAAAGU
Molecule: unclassified non-coding RNA, 263 nt
Filed under: Hevea brasiliensis (rubber tree)
Lineage: Eukaryota; Viridiplantae; Streptophyta; Magnoliopsida; Malpighiales; Euphorbiaceae
Source: RNAcentral